ACAUCCGAAUUACUAAGGUUCGG
Molecule: unclassified non-coding RNA, 23 nt
Filed under: Chlamydomonas reinhardtii
Lineage: Eukaryota; Viridiplantae; Chlorophyta; Chlorophyceae; Chlamydomonadales; Chlamydomonadaceae
Description: small RNA Cre_0217
Source: RNAcentral